GUGGGGAAUAUUGGACAAUGGGCGAAAGCCUGAUCCAGCAACGCCGCGUGAGGGAUGAAUGCCUUCGGGUUGUAAACCUCUUUCGCCUGCGACGAAGCGAGAGUGACGGUAGCAGGUAAAGAAGCACCGGCCAACUACGUGCCAGCAGCCGCGGUAAUACGUAGGGUGCGAGCGUUGUCCGGAAUUAUUGGGCGUAAAGGGCUCGUAGGCGGUUUGUCACGUCGGGAGUGAAAACUCAGGGCUUAACUCUGAGCUGGCUUCCGAUACGGGCAGACUAGAGGUAUGCAGGGGAGAACGGAAUUCCUGGUGUAGCGGUGAAAUGCGCAGAUAUCAGGAGGAACACCGGUGGCGAAGGCGGUUCUCUGGGCAUUACCUGACGCUGAGGAGCGAAAGUGUGGGGAGCGAACAGGAUUAGAUACCCUAGUAGUCC
This 430-nucleotide ribosomal RNA is filed under the name uncultured bacterium. Its description in RNAcentral is "bacterial SSU rRNA". It matches the Rfam family "Bacterial small subunit ribosomal RNA", at positions 354 to 796 of the family's 1533-position model. The record is from RNAcentral.